GAUGAACGCUAGCUACAGGCUUAACACAUGCAAGUCGAGGGGCAUCACGGUGUAGCAAUACACUGGUGGCGACCGGCGCACGGGUGAGUAACACGUAUCCAACCUUCCCUUUACUCCGGGAUAGCCCAUCGAAAGAUGGAUUAACACCGGAUGGUUUCGCGGGAUUGCAUGAUAUCGCGAAUAAAGUUUACGGUAAAGGAUGGGGAUGCGUUCCAUUAGCUUGUGGCGGGU
Molecule: ribosomal RNA, 231 nt
Filed under: uncultured bacterium
Lineage: Bacteria
Description: partial 16S ribosomal RNA
Rfam family: Bacterial small subunit ribosomal RNA
Source: RNAcentral